CGCACCUUGCGCCCUUUGGUAUUCCGAAGGGCAUGCCUGUUUGAGUGUCAUGUGAACUCAACCCCCGAGGUUUCUCGGGUCGGUUGGAUUUGGGCGUCUGCCUCCUGGCUCGCCUUAAAGAUGUUAGCGGGACGCCCGCGGCCUGACGUAAUAAGUUCCGUCUGCGUCCGUCGAGAUAACGCCCCGCUCAUAAUCGCUUCGGCACCUUUUUGACUCUGACCUCAAAUCAGGUAGGACUACCCGCUGAACUUAA
Molecule: unclassified non-coding RNA, 253 nt
Filed under: Tremella sp.
Lineage: Eukaryota; Fungi; Basidiomycota; Tremellomycetes; Tremellales; Tremellaceae
Description: partial contains 5.8S ribosomal RNA, internal transcribed spacer 2, and large subunit ribosomal RNA
Source: RNAcentral